CACGGAUCCAGACUUGAUCCUGGCUCAGAGCGAACGCUAGCGGCGCGCCUAACACAUGCAAGUCGUGCGAGAAAGUAGGGGCAACUCCAUGAGUAGAGCGGCGCACGGGUGAGUAACGCGUGGGUAAUCUACCCCUAAGAUCGGGAUAACCCGCCGAAAGGCGGGCUAAUACCGGAUAAGACCACGGGACGUGUGUUCCGCGGUUAAAGGGAGGGCGAUCGUUCGGGAUCUUUCGCUUGGGGCUGAGCUCGCGUCCCAUCAGCUAGUUGGUGAGGUAACGGCUCACCAAGGCUAAGACGGGUAGCUGGUCUGAGAGGACGAUCAAGCCACACUGGCACUUGAUACACGUUCCAGACUCGUACGGGAGACAGCAGUGGGGUACUUUGGGCAAUGGGGGAAUCCUUGAUGCAGGCAAUGCUGCGUGAGUGAAGAAGGCCUUCAGGUUGUAAAGCUGUUGUCGGAGGGGAAGAAACGAUGGUGCCUUAUAUCCCUCUGGUAUUGACGGUACCUCGAAGGAGAAGCAUCGGCUAAUUACGUGCCAGCAGCCGCGGUAAUACGUAGGGUGCGAGCGUUAAUCGGAAUUACUGGGCGUAAAGCGUGCGCAGGCGGUUCUGUAAGACAGACGUGAAAUCCCCGGGCUUAACCUGGGAACUGCGUUUGUGACUGCAAGACUAGAGUGUAGCAGAGGGGGGUAGAAUUCCACGUGUAGCAGUGAAAUGCGUAGAUAUGUGGAGGAAUACCAAUGGCGAAGGCAGCCCCCUGGGUUAACACUGACGCUCAUGCACGAAAGCGUGGGGAGCAAACAGGAUUAGAUACCCUGGUAGUCCACGCCCUAAACGAUGUCAACUAGGUGUUGGGGAAGGAGACUUCUUUAGUACCGCAGCUAACGCGUGAAGUUGGCCGCCUGGGGAAGGGGUCAGAUGAUAAAAACUCAAGGAAUUGUUGGGCAACCUCACACCCGGUGGAAGAUGAGGAUUAAUACGAUGCAACGCGAAAAACCUUACCUACCCUUGACAUGUCAGGAAGAUUCCAGAGAUGGGAUUGUGCCCGAAAGGGAACCUGAACACAGGUGCUGCAUGGCUGUCGUCAGCUCGUGUCGUGAGAUGUUGGGUUAAGUCCCGCAACGAGCGCAACCCUUGUCAUUAAUUGCCAUCAUUCAGUUGGGCACUUUAAUGAGAUGCCGGUGAUAAACCGGAGGAAGGUGGGGAUGACGUCAAGUCUCAUGGCCCUUAUGGGUAGGGCUUCACACGUAAUACAAUGGUCGGUACAGAGGGUUGCCAACCCGCGAGGGGGAGCCAAUCCCAGAAAGCCGAUCGUAGUCCGGAUUGUAGUACUGCAACUCGACUACAUGAAGUCGGAAUCGCUAGUAAUCGCGGAUAAGCAUGUCGCGGUGAAUACGUUCCCGGGUCUUGUACACACCGCCCGUCACACCAUGGGAGUGGAAUCUGGCAGAAGUAGGUAGCCUAACCGCAAGGGGGGCGCUUACCACGCUGGGUUUCAUGACUGGGGUGAAGUCGUAACAAGCUAGCCGUAAGCUUCAC
RNAcentral lists this ribosomal RNA (1541 nucleotides) under uncultured Banisveld landfill bacterium BVC77. RNAcentral's name for it is "partial 16S ribosomal RNA". It matches the Rfam family "Bacterial small subunit ribosomal RNA". The record is from RNAcentral.